UAGGGAAUCUUCGGCAAUGGACGAAAGUCUGACCGAGCAACGCCGCGUGAGUGAAGAAGGUUUUCGGAUCGUAAAACUCUGUUGUUAGAGAAGAACAAGGACGUUAGUAACUGAACGUCCCCUGACGGUAUCUAACCAGAAAGCCACGGCUAACUACGUGCCAGCAGCCGCGGUAAUACGUAGGUGGCAAGCGUUGUCCGGAUUUAUUGGGCGUAAAGCGAGGGCAGGCGGUUUCUUAAGUCUGAUGUGAAAGCCCCCGGCUCAACCGGGGAGGGUCAUUGUAAACUGGGAGACUUGAGUGCAGAAGAGGAGGGUGGAAUUCCAGGUGUAGCGGUGAAAUGCGUAGAUAUAUGGAGGAACACCAAUGGCGAAGGCGGCUCUCUGGUCUGUAACUGACGCUGAGGCUCGAAAGCGUGGGGAGCAAACAGG
Molecule: ribosomal RNA, 429 nt
Filed under: Gemmatimonadota bacterium
Lineage: Bacteria; Pseudomonadati; Gemmatimonadota
Description: Gemmatimonadetes bacterium partial 16S ribosomal RNA
Rfam family: Bacterial small subunit ribosomal RNA
Source: RNAcentral